GAGCACGUAGGUGGGUUUGUUAGUCAGAUGUGAAAGCCUUCUGUUCAACGGAAGAAUUGCAUCUGAAACUACAAACCUUGAGUAUAGGAGGGGAGAGUGGAACUUCUGGUGGAGCGGUGAAAUGCGUAGAUAUCAGAAGGAACGCCGGCGGCGAAAGCGACUCUCUGGCCUAUAACUGACACUGAGUGUGCGAAAGCUAGGGGAGCAAACGGGAUUAGAUACCCCGGUAGUCCUAGCCGUAAACGAUGGGCACUGAGUAGAGGGAAUUACCGAUGUCCUCUCUGCCGUAGCUAACGCAUUAAGUGCCCCGCCUGGGGAGUACGGCCGCAAGGCUAAAACUCGAAAGAAUUGACGGGGGCUCGCACAAGCGGUGGAGCAUGUGGCUUAAUUCGAUGCAACGCGAAAAACCUUACCGGGGCUUGACAUGGUAGAAGUAGGAACCCGAAAGGGUAACGAACGGUAUCCAGUCCGUAGCUAUCACAGGUGUUGCAUGGCUGUCGUCAGCUCGUGUCGUGAGACGUUGGGUUAAGUCCCCUAACGAGCGAAACCCUUGUUUUUAGUUACCAGCGGGUUAUGCCGGGUACUCUAGAAAGACUGCCGUCGUCAAGACGGAGGAAGGUGGGGAUGACAUCAAGUCAUCAUGGCCCUUAUGCCCCGGGCUGCACACGUGCUACAAUGGUCGGUACAAACGGAUGCGAAGCCGAGAGGUGAAGCGAAUCC
This 720-nucleotide ribosomal RNA is filed under the name uncultured anaerobic ammonium-oxidizing bacterium. RNAcentral describes it as "bacterial SSU rRNA". It matches the Rfam family "Bacterial small subunit ribosomal RNA", at positions 565 to 1274 of the family's 1533-position model. The record is from RNAcentral.